This 492-nucleotide ribosomal RNA is filed under the name uncultured bacterium. RNAcentral's name for it is "partial 16S ribosomal RNA". It matches the Rfam family "Bacterial small subunit ribosomal RNA", at positions 29 to 507 of the family's 1533-position model. The record is from RNAcentral.
AGUGAACGCUGGCGGUAGGCCUAACACAUGCAAGUCGAACGGCAGCACAGUAAGAGCUUGCUCUUACGGGUGGCGAGUGGCGGACGGGUGAGGAAUACAUCGGAAUCUACUUUUUCGUGGGGGAUAACGUAGGGAAACUUACGCUAAUACCGCAUACGACCUACGGGUGAAAGCAGGGGAUCUUCGGACCUUGCGCGAUUGAAUGAGCCGAUGUCGGAUUAGCUAGUUGGCGGGGUAAAGGCCCACCAAGGCGACGAUCCGUAGCUGGUCUGAGAGGAUGGUCGGCCACACUGGAACUGAGACACGGUCCAGACUCCUACGGGAGGCAGCAGUGGGGAAUAUUGGACAAAGGGCGCAAGCCUGAUCCAGCCAUACCGCGUGGGUGAAGAAGGCCUUCGGGUUGUAAAGCCCUUUUGUUGGGAAAGAAAAGCAGCAGGUUAAUACCCCGCUGUUCUGACGGUACCCAAAGAAUAAGCACCGGCUAACUUCGUG